GGGAUCGUAGCUCAACUGGUUAGAGCACUCGCCUGUCACGCGAGAGGUCGCGAGUUCGAAUCUCGUCUGUCGCUCCA
This 77-nucleotide transfer RNA is filed under the name Candidatus Dojkabacteria bacterium. RNAcentral's name for it is "tRNA-Asp". It matches the Rfam family "tRNA". Rfam says of the family: Transfer RNA (tRNA) molecules are approximately 80 nucleotides in length. Their secondary structure includes four short double-helical elements and three loops (D, anti-codon, and T loops). Further hydrogen bonds mediate the characteristic L-shaped molecular structure. tRNAs have two regions of fundamental functional importance: the anti-codon, which is responsible for specific mRNA codon recognition, and the 3' end, to which the tRNAs corresponding amino acid is attached (by aminoacyl-tRNA synthetases). tRNAs cope with the degeneracy of the genetic code in two manners: having more than one tRNA (with a specific anti-codon) for a particular amino acid; and 'wobble' base-pairing, i.e. permitting non-standard base-pairing at the 3rd anti-codon position. The record is from RNAcentral.